UUAUCUAUUUUUGAUGACGUAACAGUGCACAAUGAUUCGUCACCAGCAAGAAGAGGGAUAAAAACAGAGUCAGACAAAUCCACCAUAUCACCCACUUUACGCGACUGAGCGCGAGUGACAGCGCAUGCGGGAAAAACUUCAGGAUCAUUUCCAAGGAUAAAAUCAACGCCCUGAACAGGAAGAGAAGGACGUACCGCCACUCUUACAAAUCCCGUACAUAACUCACUCUGUAAAUGUAUACGAUGUAAUGGCACAGUUAUACAACUCAUGUCAAUGCCCUGAACUAUCACACUUGAGCCACAGAAAGUGUCCUCAGACAAUGGUAAUCUAUCUGCCACAAUAAAAGAUUGCAUUGCA
Rhinichthys klamathensis goyatoka is the source of this 357-nucleotide long non-coding RNA. RefSeq lists it as uncharacterized. The transcript is spliced from 2 exons. Lineage: Eukaryota; Metazoa; Chordata; Actinopteri; Cypriniformes; Leuciscidae. The record is from RefSeq and is a predicted model, not a curated record.